GGGUGGGGGGUGGGGGGUGUGUGGUUGGGGGAAGGUGGCCUCCGCCUCUCCUCGCCACCUCUAUCUUUCCUCUCAAUCCCUCUCUUUUUCUGUAUCCCUCCCUCUCUCUUUUUUUUCCUCUUUCCUUCCCUUUCCUUUUUUAUAGAUCUUGGUUUUGUUUUUUGUUUUUUGUUUUUUGUUUUUGUUGUUUCUGGCUGCAGGUUUUUUUGAUUUAGGUGUUUUUUGCUUGGCUGUAAUAAGAUUUAUCGGUGGGGCUAUCUAUCCCGGUGGAGAUGGAGGUGUCAACGUCGGUGGAUGUAGUAACGGUUGCUUUGCUGGUUCAUAUGUGAUGUGGAAGCAGACAUUGCAAAACACCAUUGUAACCAUGAUUUAGUUGCCGCUUUUGGCCCACAUAUACAGGGUUUUGGCUCCAGUUCAGUGUUUGGAGUUACAAUAAUGAAAGUUACCAGUUUGUGUGGGUUAAGGUUUAGCCGGUGCAACACAAAGGGUUUAGCCAGUAUGGCGUUAUGUAUUUCUUCGGUUGCCAGAGAGGAUGUGGAGCGGUGUUCAUGUUUCUUGUUUUAAGUCUAUUACUCAUUAGGAGUUUGCUGUACUUUUUAUUUUAAUUCUUAGGAACUCUUUAGGAGUUUGCUGUAUUUUGUAUUCUAGUUUUCGCCGUUUUUGCCGUUGUGCGAUUGAGUAUUUGUUGGUUUACGCAUAAUUAUCUCCAUAUCAAAUCAACAUGUUGUUGUGUCUGGUCAUUGACUCACUGGAGAUGUUGUACCCAUGUUGGCUCUUUUGUGACUUUGUAGUAUGAUAUGUUUCAUCAAUAGUUACUAUCGUUUUUCUAAAAUAAGGGUGAUUUUGAAAACUAGUUUUCACUCUUUUGAAAACUAAAAAUGAAAAUUGUUACCAAACAUAUUUUCAAUUUUCAGUUCACCAAUUUCACGUCACCACACAUACAUGUCACUCAAGUUACCAAAACUUGAUAUUUGGGACGUCUUGACUUGGACCCGACUGCUGGACUAUUG
RNAcentral lists this long non-coding RNA (1010 nucleotides) under Prunus persica (peach). RNAcentral's name for it is "long non-coding RNA (PPER_LNC000145)". Lineage: Eukaryota; Viridiplantae; Streptophyta; Magnoliopsida; Rosales; Rosaceae. The record is from RNAcentral.